UAAAAUAAGAUCUUUGAUCCGCUCCGUUAUUGUUAUGUCGUUUCAAUAAGAUCUUUGAUCCGCUCCGUUAUUGUUAUGGAGAGGAUCAAAGAUCUUAUUUAUAACAAUAACGGAGCGGAUCAAAGAUCUUAUUUUAAUGAGAUUGUGCUUUACAAGGGCAAGAAGAGGAAUGCAACAAUAAAAUAGAAUUAAAUGACAUUAUGACAAUUAACUUAUACAUGUAUCUGUAAAUUAAAUUAUCAAAAUAAAACACUAAUGGCUAAAAGUUGGUUGGUUUUUGAUACUAGCUUUAAAAUAGAUGGAACCAAAAAUGGUCAUAGUAAUUACAUGUCUUUAUGAUUUAAAAGAAUCCUUCUUUAAUUUUGUUGACACUAGAAUAUUAUAAAUGAUGGAUGCAUUGUCAAGAAAAACAGAAAGAUGUACAAAAAUUGUGACACUUGCAACUCCAGGGUUCUGAUUCAAAGUCAGAUCCAAAUAGUGUUAAAAGUGUAUAUCAAGUUUAUAAUUGUAAAAUGUUUCAUCAGUAUAGACGCUUUUGGGGGAAUGAAUUACACCUUAUACAUGUAUUAUACUUCUACUGAAUAUUAGAAUUUAGCAUAUAAAUGCAUGCCUAGAGCAAGAAAAGUUACUGUAUUAUAUAGAUUUCAUUCAUAUUGAGGUUAGUAAUACUUUUAACUAAAUAACUCAGGUAUUUAGUUAAGGUCAGUGUCUUGUUGAUAUUUUUGAUGUGUGUAUGCAUGUACGUGUAUGUGUGCGUGUGUGUGUGAAAUACAAAAAAAUCCAUAAAGAUUUGUUUCAGAGUUUUGAGUAGUGAUCAGUUUUAGCAAUCAUCAACAGCUAGGGUAUGAAUCUGUACACUCAUCUUUGUUAAUUUCUAAAAAGACUUAAAUUGCAUUUCAAAAGUAGUCAAGUGUUAUGUGAAGGAGAUUUGAGGAACAUAUGUUCCUGCUAAAUGUGUGUGAUCAUACAUUUGGGGUGUCAAUGGAUGGAAAAUCAUCUGAAGAUUGAAGUUUUGAAGAAAUUGAAAUACUUUAUUGAAUAUUAAUCAAUCUUAUUUUCAUUCUAAAAUCAUGUACUCAAAGGAAUUUUCUUUCAAUUACAUAUGUAAGUGCAUUAAAUUGAAUUAUUUUUCUAUUUCUUACUUACAUUUAAAACAGUUAUGUUUGUCAUUUUGUUUCUCAAAGUAGAAAAUAUUUUCAUGUAGAUUUUUCUUCCAAGAUUAUUAUUCCAUAGAUUUCAAUUUAGAACAUUCAAGUAAAAGAAAAUAAGACUCUAAAAAAGGAGGUCUCCAUGUGAAUUGAGAGAAAGAAACGGAAAUUAUAAAUUCUGUGGUGACAUUAAAUUUCAUUUCAUAAUUUUGCCAGCUAUAAUAAGGUAUGAUAUGAGAUUCAGGGUGGUACAUUUAUGUGCAUACAUGUACCUUGUAUCUCCAAUUGAAAAUUGAUUGCUUUAAAUCAAUUUCAACAUUAUGAAUAUCCUACAAAAGUAAAACAUAAUGAUUUUAAAGUUUAAAAAACACAUUGUUUCACUCCUGAAACCUUGACCUCACAUGGAUAUAUAUUGGUAUUUAGUGUUGGUAGGUUUUGGUUCUUUUUGGGUGGAUUUUGGAUAAUGUAGUGAAUUUCAGUUAGUUGUAGCACAGUAACAUGGAGUGAGCUUGCUUGCUUCCUGAUAUCUAGUCAAUCACUUUUUAAGACAUACAUAUUUUUCAAACUUGCAUUGCACAUAUUUGUUUACAUUUUUGGUAGGAGUGUUUUAUAUGCUCACUAUAUAUGUCAUCUUCAUAUAUAGAUGUGUAAUUGUUUGCAAAAAGAAGAGACAUCUAAAUUCCUAAUAAAAAUGAUAAUUACAUUUAAAUCAUAAUUGUGCACUUCAUGUACUUUUUACAUGCAAAAUAAUUUCAUAUAAUUAUAUGGUUUUUGUAUUUUCUGUCCAUAUCUGUAAGUCUGUCUGUCACAAAGUCUUAAAUUGUGCAUUAAAAUGCUUCUCCUCCUGUAUGGAUUAUCUGAUAAACUUGAAACUUUGUACAAUGCUUCAUUGCCAUUUGCAGAUGUGCACAUUGUUGGGAGAGGAUUUAUUGUUAUCCUAAAAGUUAUAGUGGUUCGAUCCAAGAGAGAUGCGGGUGUAAAAUAGCUUGUGACCAUUUCUCCUAGUUGCAAACCUAUUGCAGAGUCUUGAAUUUUUUUUUUUUUUUUUUUUUUAUACUAUACUUUAUUAUCAUUUAAUGAUGUCUAGAUUUCUCUGACCCAGGAAUCUAAUAUUUUCCUAAAAUCUACAGUGGAUCAAAAACAUGUAUUUUAAGUGUUGUUUUUUUUUUUUACCCUUUAUUGAAUAAUCUUUGUAAAAUUGCAUGUGCAAAAGUAAAGAUGCUUUGAAAAUUCAAUUACAAAAUUAAACAUUUCACUGGUUUGUUAAGGUACUCACUACACUAAAGCUUUAUGACACUAUGUUACAAGAUGGCGAUUUAAAUGUUUUGGGAAAGUAUUUGUAUUGAUCGAUUUAUUCGUCUAUAACACCAUAGCUAAGUGGUUAAUUAAUAAAGCAUUGGGCAAGAGAGAGAGAGAGAGAGAGAGAGAGAGAGAGAGAGAGAGCAUUGGGCUGGUGAACUACAGAUCUUGAGCUCAAAUCCACCAGUCUUUUGUUCAUGUGUUGAAAUAAUAUUUUUGAAAAUCAUGUUUUUAUCCAAAUUUGCAUUUUUUGCUGUUUUUGGCAUACACACUUAUUGUAUAUCAUCAGAUCUUUUUUAAAAUAUUAAAUCUAUUUGUACUGAUUUGAGAAACUAUUUCCCGGUGUAGUGAGCCACCUUAAAUGUAAACAUAAAAAGACUCCAGUCUUUGUUUACAUAACAUAGAAUGAAGGCUAAAAUAUUGCUUUUAUUCCUGCAUCCAGAAGGUUAAAAUUUUGGCUGUGAAUACAGAUUCAGUUAUACUUUUCAUGUUUAACAUUUAAAAAAAUGAGAACAAAAUUUAAAAAAAAAAAAAAAAAAAAACGUAAACGUCCUGUUUGAGAAUUUUUCACUUGUAUGGAGACGUCACCAUUGCCAGUGAAGGGCUGCAACAUUUAGGUCUAUGCUCGGUGCUUAUGCCCCUUUGAGCAGGGGUGGAUUAAUAUUGUGUCACACAUUUAGGUAAUGUCAUAUAACUGUAAACAAUGUCUCUAGAGGAUUUGGGUGUUGCUCAACCGGAAAUUUAAUAAAUGAAUGCAUAAGAUUGGAUCAUACUUCUUUUUGGACUAGAACAUCCAGGACUGAACUUUCUUAGGGUCGAGAUGUCUGUUAACCGUUUAUUCGUAUUUACCUGUCAAAGUCUUUUUGACGCUUCAGGUAUAGGAGAAAGUACUUUGACUUCAGAAUGAAUGUGAUUGUCAGAGGGAGAAUGAUGGACCGAAGCAUGCAUUUUGUAAAAUGAUUCUUGUGUUGUUAAAUCUUCGAGAAUCUUGUUGGAGAUGUCUGAUUCGGUUCACGAAACAACUUAGCAUCAUCUAGCAGUAGCAGAUUUCACCGUAAGCACUUAAUUAACACUAAUUUUAAUAUAUUGUGCCGUUACCUAUUUUCGAUAGUAUCCUAAUUUCGAUAGGUUAUUAUUUUUAACGAUCAUUCGAUAAUUGUAAUGUCAUUUUUCGGAAUGUUUUUUCCCAAAAUCAGCGUCAGUAACAAGAAGUGUCAGAUAGCCAAAAAGAUCGAGAAUUACGCUUUUCAAAGAGAUAUUUUCCAUCCAGAGAGGAAAUUAUAAGAAUGAUGAUCCAGAGGCCUUGGGCAAUGCUUUCCAGUCGGUAAAAUAUGGAAUGAGUGUCCAUGCUGAAUUGUUACUGCCAAAUGUUUCCAAGUCCCCUAGACAACUUUAAAAUAUGAUAAAUGGGCAUAAUAACAUUGGGUGUGUGUCUUCAGGACCUCCACCACUAUUUAAAAUUGUUUGAAGUUGCUUUAUUUGUUCAUUAUUUAAUGUAAUCAAUUUGGUCGAAAAAAUAAGAAUUAAAAAAUCAUUCUAUUUAA
Ostrea edulis (European flat oyster) is the source of this 3991-nucleotide long non-coding RNA. RefSeq lists it as uncharacterized. The record is from RefSeq and is a predicted model, not a curated record. Lineage: Eukaryota; Metazoa; Mollusca; Bivalvia; Ostreida; Ostreidae. The transcript is spliced from 2 exons.